RNAcentral lists this ribosomal RNA (269 nucleotides) under uncultured bacterium. RNAcentral describes it as "partial 16S ribosomal RNA". It matches the Rfam family "Bacterial small subunit ribosomal RNA", at positions 87 to 354 of the family's 1533-position model. The record is from RNAcentral.
CCCGGCGACCGACGGCACGCGGAGCAACACGUAUGCAACCUGGCCGCCACAGGGGGAUAACCCGCGGAAACGCGGCCUAAUACCCCGUGACGCCACCGGAGGGCAUCCUCCGGUGGCCAAAGGAGCGAUCCGGUGGCGGAUGGGCAUGCGGCGCAUUAGCUAGACGGCGGGGUGACGGCCCACCGUGGCGACGAUGCGUAGGGGUUCUGAGAGGAAGGCCCCCCACACUGGGACUGAGACACGGCCCAGACUCCUACGGAAGGCAGCAG